UGACAUGGAGAUCCCUUUCCUUCUUC
RNAcentral lists this non-coding RNA (26 nucleotides) under Rattus norvegicus (Norway rat). Lineage: Eukaryota; Metazoa; Chordata; Mammalia; Rodentia; Muridae. The record is from RNAcentral.